This 330-nucleotide ribosomal RNA is filed under the name uncultured eukaryote. RNAcentral describes it as "partial 18S ribosomal RNA". It matches the Rfam family "Eukaryotic small subunit ribosomal RNA", at positions 1470 to 1796 of the family's 1831-position model. The record is from RNAcentral.
CCCUUAGAUGUUCUGGGCCGCACGCGCGCUACACUGAGCCCUUCAUCGAGUUUACAACCUUGGCCGGUAGGUCUGGGUAAUCUUCUCAAAGGGGCUCGUGCUGGGGAUAGAUUAUUGUAAUUUUUAAUCUUCAACGAGGAAUUCCUAGUAAACGCAAGUCAACAGCUUGCAUUGAUUACGUCCCUGCCCUUUGUACACACCGCCCGUCACUACUACCGAUUGAAUGGCUUAGUGAGCCCGAGGGACUGUUGCACCUAGAGGGUUUUCUCUCCAGGAGCAGCCGGGAACUCGGUCAAACUUGAUCAUUUAGAGGAAGUAAAAGUCGUAACA